AUUGAGGUGGCAGAAGCCUGGUUAAAUGUAAAAGGCCUAAGCCCUUUACUCAGGGGUUCAACUCCCCUCCUCAUUA
RNAcentral lists this transfer RNA (76 nucleotides) under Pelomedusa subrufa. RNAcentral describes it as "tRNA-Leu". It matches the Rfam family "tRNA". Rfam says of the family: Transfer RNA (tRNA) molecules are approximately 80 nucleotides in length. Their secondary structure includes four short double-helical elements and three loops (D, anti-codon, and T loops). Lineage: Eukaryota; Metazoa; Chordata; Testudines; Pelomedusidae. The record is from RNAcentral.